CCACUAUUGGCAGGGGGAAUACCACGAUCAAGAAGGUGGUUUCCCCUAGGGUGAGGCUCUUCCACUGCACAUUUCGGUUGGGUUGACGUCUGUGAUUUCCCCAAAUGUGGGAAACUCAACUACAUAAUUUCUAGUAGUGGGGGACUGUGUUCACACAGUUUGUG
Molecule: small nuclear RNA, 164 nt
Organism: Protopterus annectens (West African lungfish)
Lineage: Eukaryota; Metazoa; Chordata; Ceratodontiformes; Protopteridae
Product: U1 spliceosomal RNA
Exons: 1
Source: RefSeq, a predicted model, not a curated record